This 3457-nucleotide long non-coding RNA is filed under the name Pongo abelii (Sumatran orangutan). RNAcentral describes it as "lincRNA". Lineage: Eukaryota; Metazoa; Chordata; Mammalia; Primates; Hominidae. The record is from RNAcentral.
GUUAUUUGGCUGGAGUGAGGUCCCAUGUCUGUUUAUGCGGUGGCUCGCUGCUCAGGAUGGGAUGGCAGAGAUGAACACCACCAUCAAAAACUCAAGGACCAGUGCUAUUGGUCCGGUCAUCUGUUUCAUGGAAUUCACCAGUCUGGUAUCUUCAGAAUCCAGAAGGAUGAUGGCAGAUGGCAGGAAACUAAUGCAAACACCGUCAGGUGUGGCCCCAGUGUAGCAGCUGUGAUUGAUGUUUUCUCCUUGCCAUAGCAAUAAAUAACACAACCUUGGUCACACUGUAUGCACUGUUGGUCUGCAAAAUCCAUGUUUUGCAAAACUCUUCAGGAAAGUGGAGCUGUAAUAUUGGCAUUGACAUGAAAACAACAGCAGUAUUUAUUCACAAUCUGAAUUUCUCUGUCUUCCUGUCUGUCUCAUUAGCCAUCCAAGUAGUCCUGAGGAACCAAGCCCAUCAGAACAUUCUGCAACAUAAUACACAGCUCCAUUCUCCAUUCAAAUUUUGUUGUUGUUGUUGUUGAUGAGACAACAUCUUACUCCAUCACCCAGGCUGAUGUACAGUGGGGCUAUCUGGACUCUGUAGCCUCCAGCUUCCAGGCUCAAGGCAUCUUCUCACCUCAGCCUCCUAAGUGGCUUGAACUACAGACACACAGCGACAUGCUGGGCUAUUUUUUGUAUAUUUUGUAGAGACGUGCUCUCACUAUGUUAUUCAGGCUGGACUCAAACUCCCGAGCUCAAGUGAUCCAAGCACCUUGGCCUCAAAGUGCUGGGAUUACAGGCCUGAGCCACUGCACCUAGCCCAAUCUCCAUUCUACUGAUAACAAUGUCAUUGCCAGGUCUGAUGGACAGGAAAUGGUAAGGUUUCUGAAAACCUAAGGAUCACACAGUGAGUUCCAAAGGCUGAAAGUGCAUGUCUGUCGACACUGAUACCAAUGACAUCCAAUGGAGGAAGAGGGUAAUCUGGAAGAGUUUCCUGACGUACUCUGCUGCUGUGAUUAAACAACCACCAGGAAAUUUUGAUGACACUGUUCUCCUGAGCUCCUCCCUUUCCUCAGGGAACAAAAGCAUUGAAACUACAAAAAUAAAGUGUUAUUUAGCUGGAGUGAGGUCUCAUGGCUGUUUAUGCGGUGGCUCGCUGCUCAGUACAGGGAACCAUUGGAGAUACUCGUUACUCUUUGAAGGCUUACAGUGGAAUGAAUUCAAAUAUGACUUAUUUGAGGAAUUGAAGUUGACUUUAUGGAGCUGAUAAGAAUCUUCUUGGAAAAAAAAAGACUGGAUAUAUUUUCAAUAUGCUUUCCUUUUAAGGUCCCGCACCUGUGGAAAGUAAAGAAUGUCACUUUCUGACAGGCUCAGGAACCUCAAGUUAUGUAGGGAUCUCAAGAAGAUUGGGGGAAUUCACCCAGUUCAUACAGGUGAAAUUGCUGUUGCAAAGAUUAUGAAUAUGAGAGAAGUCCAGCAUGGCUGACUUCAUCUCAUGUCUGGCCUCAGGCUGGCUGCCCUUGCUCACUGUUGGGCAUAGGCCAAGCUAGCCAUGGGAGGAAUGUAGUUUAUAGUUUAACUUUGAAGCAAGGAUGAUAAUAGUCUCUCCCUAAAAUGAACCCCUUCCUUGCUCAGGGACUGAAACUACCUUUUUACGACAAAUGAAAGCCCGCAAGAUUAAGACUGUGAGAGGGGCCUGAAUUCUGCUAAAAUGCAGGUGUAGCUGACUGAUAACCAGUCAUUGUCCCACAGCUUGCCUUUCUAUAAUCUGUUGCUCCUCAGGAAUCACAUGGCCAGAGGUCCUGAGAUUUCCAGUCCUGUGACCCCCACCCAGAGAUGGACUUAGUGCAUGAGGACCAUUUUCCACACCCCUAUGAUUUCAUUCUCAAACAAUCAGCACCCAUUCCCUAGCUCCCUGCCUGCCAAAUUAUCCAUAAAAGUCCUAGCCCCUGAGUUAUUAGGGAGAUUGAUUAAUAAUCCCAGUCCUACCCCUUGGGUUGCUCUGAUUUAAUUUAACCUUCUCUACUGCAAUACCACGGACUCAGUGAAUUGGUUUUGUCUGUGCAAUGGGCAAGAAGAACCUGUUGGGUGGUUAUACAGGUACUACAAGCACAGUCUGAUGGCAAAUUAUUGGUUUUGCUUCCUGCCCUUAAUGUUUCUAAACAUCUAGUCCAAAAUUACUCGUGAAAGGUCCAGCAAAGCCAAUUUUAAAAGAAAGAAUAGUGAUAUGGCCAAUCACUAUUCUUUCUGCACAUUAUUGCAAAUAAUCAGGCCACGGCUGGGCAUGGUGGCUCAUGCCUGCAAUCCCAGCACUUUGGGAGGCUGAGGCAGGUGGAUCACCUGAGAUCAGGAGUUCAAAACCAGCCUGGGCAACAUGGUAAAACCCUGUCCCUACUAAAAAUACAAAAUUAGCCGGGCAUGGUGGCAUGUACCUGUAAUCCCAGCUACUUGGGAGGCUGAGGGAGGAGAAGCACUUGAACCUGGGAGGCAGAGAUUGCAAUGAGCUGAGAUCACACCACUGCACUCCAGCCUGGGCAAUAGAGUGAGACUUUGUCUCAAAUAAUAAUAAUAAUAAUCAGACCAAGUAUAAUGAAAUUAAAAUUUAUUUUGCAAAUAAAUUGGUCCUACUAUAAUUUAUCCUUCAUAGAAAUGUGGAAACUGAAGAUUAAAAAAAUUAGGUUUCAGAAGAAAACUAUACUAUACCUGUUAUUAGAUGCUAGCCCUAAACAUUGUUUUUGAGGUUUUUAUUAUUUACCUGCAAUGUGGACUAAAUUCGGAAUUAUUUCCUGACUACAAGUAUCCAAAGAAUAAAUGGAUUUUCUUUUUUUUAUGAUAGUUUUGGUUGGCUUCUAAUGCAAUAACAAUUUUUAUUGUAAUCCUGUGUGCAUUCUAUUCCUACUAUUCAAAUUAUUAAUGUUACAGAUAUUUCAUUGUAGUACUUCUGAAUUAACCAAAAUCACAGUGUUCUGAAGAUGAUUCUACAAAGUAUGCUGUUUUCUACAAAGGCUGCUGAUGAUUUCUACAAAGCUUGCCAUAUUGUUGCUGUGGCCUCUGCUUAAAAAAGUAGAAAACACAUUGAUGCAGCAUGUUCACCCCAACCUCCCUGCCUAAAGGCUCAGGGACCACUGCAGAAGAGGAAGGUGCGUGAGAUUGUAAGAGCCGAAUUAGGGGGAUGGAGUGUGGAGGAUAAGGACACUUCAUCUUGGACGCUCACCGCCAAAUUGACUUCUGAUGAAAGCCAGCUCCAGAAAUGUGCCUACAGUUUCUACUUUCACCUAAACCCUGCCCUUAGUCAAAUCCUUCUCUUCUUCUAAGCAAUCAACUUCAAUUCCUUGUAUAACCCACAGUAAAAAAGGGCUUUUAUACCAUUCUAUCUUAUUGCAUGUAAGCCUUGGGUCUGGGAGGUAACAGUGUGGGAUUCCACCAUCUCAUCUCCCUGCCACCCAAACAUGCCCGCUCUUCUUUAAGCAAUAUUAAA